RNAcentral lists this long non-coding RNA (494 nucleotides) under Sinocyclocheilus anshuiensis. RNAcentral describes it as "lncRNA (ENSSANG00000042473.1)". Lineage: Eukaryota; Metazoa; Chordata; Actinopteri; Cypriniformes; Cyprinidae. The record is from RNAcentral.
CAGCUGUGAGCGAAAAGUGCGGGGUUGUUUUCGGGAUUAAGGUAAAAUAUGUUUUGUUCUCUUUAGCCGCAGUCAUCUGUUUUAUAGGACCGUGACACACGCGAACAACGAGUCAGUAAAGAUUUAUGUGAGCGUCUCCUUCUUACAACACGCAGCAGUGGAAGAUGGAGAUCAGAUUAAUAGCUUACUGUACAUGUGCAUUGAUCUAAUGAAAUGGAUUUCAUAGGAUUUUAUACUCCCUUCACUUCAACCCACAACUUUGGAAGGAACGAUGCUGAAGGAGAGAGUGUAAAUGCAAGCAAGCAUGAUUUCAGUCGAGGACUGGAGCCCAGACCAAGUGUCCACAUGGAUAAAGCAUAUUGGAUUUCCUCAAUAUGCGCAGAGUUUUGUGGAAAAUGGCGUUUCUGGAUUAGACCUUUUGGAAGUCACUGGUUCAGUUUUAGGUAAGACUUUUUUGUCUUACAUUUUUUAUAAAUUAAAAGACACUUUCAGGC